UAGUCAUUUUUCAUGUAUAUACUAAAAGUCUAUCAAUUUAACAUAAAAAACAUAGAAAAAUCAUUAAUGAUAAUUUUCUAAAACCUUAACAGUUUUAUAAAUUGAUACACAAGUUAGUUAAAUUAUGAUUCCCCGAUCUCAAAAACAUAUAAUUUAUAAGAAAAGUAAAAAAUUACACUCACCAAUUUAUGGAUUAAAGCUUGAAAAUCCUAAGCAAAUUUCCUUUGUUUCUUUUCGUUCUUUUUUUUUUCU
This 252-nucleotide long non-coding RNA is filed under the name Gossypium barbadense (sea-island cotton). Its description in RNAcentral is "long non-coding RNA (GBAR_LNC018120)". Lineage: Eukaryota; Viridiplantae; Streptophyta; Magnoliopsida; Malvales; Malvaceae. The record is from RNAcentral.